RNAcentral lists this transfer RNA (76 nucleotides) under Candidatus Korarchaeota archaeon NZ13-K. RNAcentral's name for it is "tRNA-Ala". It matches the Rfam family "tRNA". From Rfam's summary of the family: Transfer RNA (tRNA) molecules are approximately 80 nucleotides in length. Their secondary structure includes four short double-helical elements and three loops (D, anti-codon, and T loops). Further hydrogen bonds mediate the characteristic L-shaped molecular structure. tRNAs have two regions of fundamental functional importance: the anti-codon, which is responsible for specific mRNA codon recognition, and the 3' end, to which the tRNAs corresponding amino acid is attached (by aminoacyl-tRNA synthetases). tRNAs cope with the degeneracy of the genetic code in two manners: having more than one tRNA (with a specific anti-codon) for a particular amino acid; and 'wobble' base-pairing, i.e. permitting non-standard base-pairing at the 3rd anti-codon position. The record is from RNAcentral. Lineage: Archaea; Thermoproteati; Thermoproteota.
GGGCCCGUAGCUCAGGUGGUGGAGCGCCGGCUUUGCAAGCCGGAGGUCGCGGGUUCGAGUCCCGCCGGGUCCACCA